GCAGUCGAGCGAUGGAUUGAGAGCUUGCUCUCAAGAAGUUAGCGGCGGACGGGUGAGUAACACGUGGGUAACCUGCCCAUAAGACUGGGAUAACUCCGGGAAACCGGGGCUAAUACCGGAUAACAUUUUGAACUGCAUGGUUCGAAAUUGAAAGGCGGCUUCGGCUGUCACUUAUGGAUGGACCCGCGUCGCAUUAGCUAGUUGGUGAGGUAACGGCUCACCAAGGCAACGAUGCGUAGCCGACCUGAGAGGGUGAUCGGCCACACUGGGACUGAGACACGGCCCAGACUCCUACGGGAGGCAGCAGUAGGGAAUCUUCCGCAAUGGACGAAAGUCUGACGGAGCAACGCCGCGUGAGUGAUGAAGGCUUUCGGGUCGUAAAACUCUGUUGUUAGGGAAGAACAAGUGCUAGUUGAAUAAGCUGGCACCUUGACGGUACCUAACCAGAAAGCCACGGCUAACUACGUGCCAGCAGCCGCGGUAAUACGUAGGUGGCAAGCGUUAUCCGGAAUUAUUGGGCGUAAAGCGCGCGCAGGUGGUUUCUUAAGUCUGAUGUGAAAGCCCACGGCUCAACCGUGGAGGGUCAUUGGAAACUGGGAGACUUGAGUGCAGAAGAGGAAAGUGGAAUUCCAUGUGUAGCGGUGAAAUGCGUAGAGAUAUGGAGGAACACCAGUGGCGAAGGCGACUUUCUGGUCUGUAACUGACACUGAGGCGCGAAAGCGUGGGGA
Molecule: ribosomal RNA, 728 nt
Filed under: Bacillus thuringiensis
Lineage: Bacteria; Bacillati; Bacillota; Bacilli; Caryophanales; Bacillaceae
Description: bacterial SSU rRNA
Rfam family: Bacterial small subunit ribosomal RNA
Source: RNAcentral